ACCCACCAAUGGGCAAUGACUAGCUAAUGUGGUUGCAACUUGUAGGAGUCUAGCAAAAUUCCAUACACUUCAACAUCACUGGAGACUAUGGAAAGAUUGAACUUCGGUACAUCUACCGGCAUGGUUUGCGGAGUUUCCUUCAACGCUCCUAAAUACAACUUCAUGUAGGUGACGCACUCGUGCGCAAUAUAUAUAUGCUUCAGCUAUACAUCCUUCAGGCGCGGAUUUAUUAGCCACAUAAUCUUUGUAGUCUCCAAGUUGCCUAUAAAUCAAGUUGUAAAAUGUUAUGAUUAUUGAACAUGUAUAUAUAUUGAGGAAUUCAGGUGUCAAAAACGUACAUUUCCAUGGGAUACAUCCAAGUGUAGUGUACUGGACCGGUAAGCAACAAUUGCUCGGGAAGAUGGAUUAUCAGGUGAGGCAUGAUGUCAAAAAAAUUUGGAGGAAAUAUCCUCUCAAAUUUACACAUGAUAUAAAUGAUGUCCUCUUGCAUUUCCCGGAGGUUAGAUUUUUUCACUUCCCAUUUGCAUAACUUCUGGAAGAAUCUUGCCAACGCUGCUAACGGCUCCACCACCAGACGGGGAAGGAACAGUCUAAUGAAAACAUGGAAGAGAUGUUGUAGCAGGAUAUGACAGUCAUGACUCUUUAACCCGUACAUCUUAUUGUCCCGGAAGUUCACACACCGGGCUAUAUUUCCUCCAUCUUCUGGGAGACACACCGUUUUCUACGGUCCCAUCAAAUGCCUGUGCAUCGAGCCGCCAUUCGUGAUCAUAUGGAAGGAGAGUACGGUGACCCAAUUUGCAUAUCUUGUUGCAAUGACUGCUGCUCCUCUCAUCGCUAAGGCACUCUGGACAAGCCUUGUAUCCCCUAACAACGUUGCCCGAUAACAUCCCACGGGCAGGAAAAUCACUGAUGGUACCAACAACCAUGACAUGCAUCUGGAACAUCUCGUGCAUGUACUUGUCAUAAGUGGGAUGACCAACGUCCCACAAAAACUUAAGCUCUUCAAUCAAAGGUCUCAAAUACACAUCGAGACACUUC
Molecule: long non-coding RNA, 1038 nt
Filed under: Fragaria vesca (wild strawberry)
Lineage: Eukaryota; Viridiplantae; Streptophyta; Magnoliopsida; Rosales; Rosaceae
Description: long non-coding RNA (FVES_LNC004968)
Source: RNAcentral